GACCCGAGCGAGACAAAGAAGUAAGUCACCUGUUCCUAUCCGAGCUUAAGCGAAGGACUCCAGGUGGGCAUUAUUUUGAGUAUACAGUUUAAGAGCUUUUCUAAACUGUUUUAAAUGAUGAUGAGAUUAUAAGAUGUUUUGAGAUAAAUGAUGUUUAUGAACUGUUUGACUUGCCAAAAUUUUGAUGAUAAGUUUGUAUGUUACCCUCUACUGAUGAGACGAAUUCGGUCCUGCCACAAGCGGGAUUUUGUGCACAGAUGUGACUGUGAGCCGUCUUCGGGUCGGCCAGUCACGGUACUUGAGAGGGAGGCCUACUUCUCAGUAUCGAUAAUAAUGAUGAUGUUGUAGACGUGGUACAUACAUGAUGAAUAUUUUUUGACUGCAGUCAUUUCUUUAUGAUGUUAUGAUGUUUAAAACUGCAUGCACAGAUUCUUGAUGCUAAGCUUAUUUCUGUGUAUUGCUGAAGAUAUGGCAAGUUUUCAAACAUAUAGCUCUAAGAGCGCCUUUGAUGUUUUUCCGGCGUUUGCCCACUGAGUAUUAUUACUCACGCCCUGCAUAUAUUUCUAAAUGUGCAGGCUAAGCAACGGAGCGAGAUUGGACUGGUGCUGGUGGGGAUGGUUUCACCGAUGAAGUUUUCCUUGAUUGUUUUCCCUUGAUGUUAGAGUCUUAAGGAUGUUGAUAAAACCUUAGUGAAAUGUUACAAUGUUUUUCUUGAGUCAAGCAAUAUACUCACGGUUAUGUGUUUCCAUACAUAUAAUCGGUUCGCCUUUUGCUGCGAUACUCUGCAUUUUAUGCUUCUUGAUGAAAAAUGAGCUAUACCC
Molecule: long non-coding RNA, 821 nt
Filed under: Salvia miltiorrhiza (redroot sage)
Lineage: Eukaryota; Viridiplantae; Streptophyta; Magnoliopsida; Lamiales; Lamiaceae
Description: long non-coding RNA (SMIL_LNC007442)
Source: RNAcentral